This is a transfer RNA of Microbacterium sp. No. 7, 85 nucleotides long. It matches the Rfam family "tRNA". From Rfam's summary of the family: Transfer RNA (tRNA) molecules are approximately 80 nucleotides in length. The record is from Rfam. Lineage: Bacteria; Bacillati; Actinomycetota; Actinomycetes; Micrococcales; Microbacteriaceae.
GGAGGGUUGUCCGAGCGGCCGAAGGAUCCGGUCUUGAAAACCGGUGGGCAGCAAUGCCCCGUGGGUUCGAAUCCCACACCCUCCG